RNAcentral lists this non-coding RNA (45 nucleotides) under Trichobilharzia regenti. The record is from RNAcentral. Lineage: Eukaryota; Metazoa; Platyhelminthes; Trematoda; Strigeidida; Schistosomatidae.
AUCAAGCUGACGAGUCCAAAAUAGGACGAAAUGCGCAUCCUGGAC